GAAAUGCGAUAAGUAAUGUGAAUUGCAGAAUUCCGUGAAUCAUCGAAUCUUUGAACGCACAUUGCGCCCUCUGGUAUUCCGGGGGGCAUGCCUGUCCGAGCGUCAUUGCGAACCCCCAAGCACGGCUUGUGUGAUGGGCCCUCCCGCGUCUUGGUCGUCAAGACGGGCCCGAAAUGCAGUGGCGGCUUCGCGGUUAUCCGAUCAGCCAGAGCGUAUGGGGACUCUCUCUCUUGUCACACGCCCGCGGCGCGGACCGACGCCUGUCGACCUUUAUUCAUCUUCUCUCGGUUGACCUCGGAUCAGGUAGGGAUACCCGCUGAACUUAAGC
This 328-nucleotide unclassified non-coding RNA is filed under the name plant metagenome. RNAcentral describes it as "partial contains 5.8S ribosomal RNA, internal transcribed spacer 2, and large subunit ribosomal RNA". The stretch from base 1 to 105 matches the Rfam family "5.8S ribosomal RNA", at positions 50 to 154 of the family's 154-position model. The record is from RNAcentral.